AGCAGCCGCGGUAAUUCCAGCUCCAAUAGCGUAUAUUAAAGUUGUUGCAGUUAAAAAGCUCGUAGUUGAAUUUCGGGGUUAGUAGUUUGGUCGUGCCAAUGGUAUGUACUGGGCUCACUGAUUCCUCCUUCCUGAUGAAUUGUAAUGCCAUUAAUUUGGUGUUGCAGGGAAACAGGACUGUUACUUUGAAAAAUUAGAGUGUUUAAAGCAAGCUAACGCUUGAAUACAUUAGCAUGGAAUAAUGAAAUAGGACGUUCGAUCCUAUUUUGUUGGUUUCUAGGAUUGACGUAAUGAUUAAUAGGGAUAGUUGGGGGCAUUAGUAUUCAAUUGUCAGAGGUGAAAUUCUUGGAUUUAUUGAAGACUAACUACUGCGAAAGCAUUUGCCAAGGAUGUUUUCAUUAAUCAAGAACGAAAGUUAGGGGAUCGAAGACGAUCAGAUACCGUCGUAGUCUUAACCNUAAACUAUGCCGACUAGGGAUCGGAUGAUGUUAAUUUUUAAUGACUCAUUCGGCGCCUUAAC
Molecule: unclassified non-coding RNA, 520 nt
Filed under: uncultured Glomus
Lineage: Eukaryota; Fungi; Glomeromycota; Glomeromycetes; Glomerales; Glomeraceae
Description: SSU rRNA
Rfam family: Eukaryotic small subunit ribosomal RNA
Source: RNAcentral